Herpailurus yagouaroundi (jaguarundi) is the source of this 206-nucleotide long non-coding RNA. RefSeq lists it as uncharacterized. The record is from RefSeq and is a predicted model, not a curated record. Lineage: Eukaryota; Metazoa; Chordata; Mammalia; Carnivora; Felidae. The transcript has 2 exons.
CAAGCUAAUGUGUUUUUUUUUCUUUUGUUUUCGGUUUAAAUUUUAUGCGAUGCAACUUUGAGGAAGAUUUAAACAGAUCCUUCUUGUCAAAAUACAAGCUCAUGCAUUCCAUUUUCUGAUUCCUUUAUUUAACGCACAAGUAAACAAAGGUGAUUCACACAAAAGCCUGCUUAUAUGAUGUACGAACAAUAAACAGAAAGCUAUAA